This 851-nucleotide ribosomal RNA is filed under the name uncultured bacterium. RNAcentral's name for it is "bacterial SSU rRNA". It matches the Rfam family "Bacterial small subunit ribosomal RNA", at positions 8 to 898 of the family's 1533-position model. The record is from RNAcentral.
AGAGGUUGAUCCUGGCUCAGAUUGAACGCUGGCGGAAUGCUUUACACAUGCAAGUCGAGCGGCCGCGGGGCAACCCGCGGCGAGCGGCGAACGGGUGAGUAAUACAUCGGAACGUACCCUGUCGUGGGGGAUAACUAACCGAAAGGUUAGCUAAUACCGCAUACGACCUGAGGGUGAAAGCGGCAACGCGCGAUAGGAGCGGCCGAUGUCAGAUUAGCUAGUUGGUGAGGUAAAGGCUCACCAAGGCGACGAUCUGUAGCGGGUCUGAGAGGACGGCCCGCCACACUGGAACUGAGACACGGUCCAGACUCCUACGGGAGGCAGCAGUGGGGAAUUUUGGACAAUGGGCGCAAGCCUGAUCCAGCCAUUCCGCGUGAGUGAAGAAGGCCUUCGGGUUGUAAAGCUCUUUCGGCAGGAACGAUAAUGACGGUACCUGAAGAAGAAGCACCGGCUAACUACGUGCCAGCAGCCGCGGUAAUACGUAGGGUGCGAGCGUUAAUCGGAAUUACUGGGCGUAAAGCGUGCGCAGGCGGUUUUGUAAGACAGAUGUGAAAUCCCCGGGCUUAACCUGGGAACUGCGUUUGUGACUGCAAGACUUGAGUGCGGCAGAGGGGGGUGGAAUUCCACGUGUAGCAGUGAAAUGCGUAGAGAUGUGGAGGAACACCGAUGGCGAAGGCAGCCCCCUGGGUCGACACUGACGCUCAUGCACGAAAGCGUGGGUAGCAAACAGGAUUAGAUACCCUGGUAGUCCACGCCCUAAACGAUGCGAACUAGGUGUUGGAGAAGAGAUCUUUAGUACCGCAGCUAACGCGUGAAGUUCGCCGCCUGGGGAGUACGGUCGCAAGAUUAAA